CGGAUGGUUUGAUCAUGUGAAACCGGCUCCUAAGGAUCCGAUCUUCGGUGCUACGGAGGCUUUCAUGGCCGAUCCAUGCACGAACAAAAUCAACCUUGGAGUGGGAGCUUAUCGGAUCGAUUAGGGGGAACCGGUUGUGCUUCUAUGUCUUGGAGAUGCUGAAUCGAAGAUCGCCGGUAGUGAGUUCUUGAUUCAAGUGUUACAAAGGAAAGGAGAUUUUCUGGAGUUCAGGCACUUUCUGGGACUGGAACGUGCCGACUGCUUGCUGAAUUUCAGAGCCAUUUCCAUCCUGAUGUUCCAAUGUUCUUGCCCGAACCAACUUGGUCUAAGUGAAACAUCACUUUCCCUUUGUUUGACAUGGCGUAUCAAGGGUUUGCCAGUGGAGAUCUUGAAGGGAUGCCAAAGUUAUAUGGCUGUUUCUUGAAGAUGGAUAUAUGGUAGGUUGUGCUCAAUUCAUAUGCGAAGAAUAUGGGUUUAUAUGGACACAGGGUUGUUUGUCUAAGGUCAGUAUCUAUUAGCUGAACUCUAGAUUGCUAUCAAUAGGGAAAUAUUGUGUAGUGUGAAGUAAUUGUCUUGCGUUUAAUCGAAGUGUUGCAGUACUUUAAAUCUUAAUUGGGUUUCUUAGUUGCUAGACAGGGUGUUCUUGGCAAAGAUCAACAGCAAGCCAUGAUAGUAAGAUUUCAGCUUCAGUGACUGGCCAGGGCAAUGUAUAGCAGCCCUCCCAUUCGUCUGAAGACUGAAUGGAUUGAAGAACUGAAGAUGCAGGUCGGAAUGGUUUGCUAUUCUGGUUUAAACUGUGAGCAGAUUGAUCUGCUGGCUAGAGAUUUUGGUGGUACAUAUGAACAGGGAUGGACGUGUGAGGUACCUCUAAAACUUUAUGUUAGGCUGCAUUAAAUUUGCAUCUUUGAUUGGCUGGUUGAUGAUUUAUGUUUUAAUUAAUUGAGCGAUAGUUAAAAUAUACGAAAUAAAAAAUUUGUUUCUUUGAUUUCUUUCUUGGUUUGAUUUAUUAUCUUUGGGCAGCCUGGCGGGUGUAACGGCAAGAAAUGUUAGUUACUUACGUAGAGUAUCAAGUCAGCAAUUAUGAUCUAAAAUACUUAAACGUCUCAAGAUGUAGCUUCUAAUGGCUUUUUGUUGUUUAAUUUGAAGAUGAUACGAAAACUCUAGCCAAUUGAAUCUAAGAAUUCUUAUGGAUAUAUGAACCCUUGGAUCACAAAUGCCACGCCCCUCCAAAUCAAGGUGAUUUCAUUCCAUAAGAUAAGGAAAUUUUUAGGUGAAAAACUAGAGAUAUUAGGUAUCCUUAAAACGAAAAGACAUCAUUCCAAGAGAAAUGAAUAUUUGGAUUAUCUUAUCGAUCAAAUAAGAC
Long non-coding RNA from Cucurbita moschata (crookneck pumpkin), 1363 nucleotides. RefSeq lists it as uncharacterized. NCBI's taxonomy places the organism in Eukaryota, Viridiplantae, Streptophyta, Magnoliopsida, Cucurbitales, Cucurbitaceae. The record is from RefSeq and is a predicted model, not a curated record. The transcript has 6 exons.